This is a long non-coding RNA of Rhinichthys klamathensis goyatoka, 376 nucleotides long. RefSeq lists it as uncharacterized. The record is from RefSeq and is a predicted model, not a curated record. NCBI's taxonomy places the organism in Eukaryota, Metazoa, Chordata, Actinopteri, Cypriniformes, Leuciscidae. The transcript is spliced from 3 exons.
CAGUAAAAGAAAUGGACACAGCGACCCCGUUGAUUUCAACGGAGAGACUUGAAGCCCGAUAUGAGCACUCACUUCCUGAUAGCCAAGCGUUCUGCGCAGGCUCAAACUGAGCUUGACGACGUAGAUGUCACGUGAGCAAACUGACUGACAGUUGUAAAUCUUCUAGUAGCUGUGCCAAGACAAAUCUGAAUCACCUAACGUUAAUCUCGCAGAGACGGCGAAGCGCGACCUGGAGCAACUUUUGGUUCAAAUACAAACUGCACUUAAGCACUUAAGCUAACACCAUGGCUGACAACAAAGCUACAUUCGUCAUGGGGAAGAGAGGGCCCGAGAGACCAUAGGGGCCAAGGUACACUAGUUUUGGCUGUGUGGACUU